AUGAAGUCUAGCCCACAACAAUAUAGAUUUUUUACUCUGUUACUACUCUUUAUACUAUCCGGCCCACCCAAUAUUUUUUUGGUAGCUCCGCCACUGCUUGUUACAUUGCUUAUUUGUUUUUUUAACCACGUUGGCUGGUUUCUCAAAUUCCUUGCUGUGUGGCCCACCUUUUAUUUUGAUUGUUUAUUCCUGCACAAUAGAGAAUACAAAUAUAAAGUUAAAGAGGAUGAUAUUAAUAAUAUUAUUAGAGACAAUGGCAGACCCACUACAAAGAUCAGUGUCGGUGCGCCCACUGGUCUUUGGAGAGGGGAUUAUCUUGCUCUGCCACUUGAGACCUGGGGCCGGCCGGCCCUGCUCGUGCCAAAUGAAGUAAAGGAGAUCAACUUUGUGCUGAAAUCUUUAAUGAUAAAGAGGAUCUUAAGUUCCAAUCAUCACGUGAAGUCACAAAUAUUGAGUAUCUUUUAG
This 465-nucleotide ribosomal RNA is filed under the name Triticum aestivum (bread wheat). RNAcentral describes it as "partial small subunit ribosomal RNA". The record is from RNAcentral. Lineage: Eukaryota; Viridiplantae; Streptophyta; Magnoliopsida; Poales; Poaceae.